GAAAUUAAGGUGCUUCGCUGCAACUUGAAUAAUGCAACAGAAGCGGAACAGUGGAUACGCAAUUACAGCGCCGAAACCAACACAUCGUGGAUUAUGGACUACGUGGCCACAAAAUGCACAAGAAUGGUCUUCCGCAAGGUGUGGCGGUGUCAACACCACCACCGAAACAAAAUGACCGUACAGCACACCACUGACUGCCCAGCAAAAAUAAACAUAAAAAUUAAAAAAGUGGACCCCGACACCCAAAAAAAUGAUGAGUAUUUGCGCAGAAGCACUCCCCUCCCAGCUGUGAUCAAAUUGGCCACAACACAUAAUCACAGCACAGAGUUUGCUGAUUCGCUAAAGCUACUGCGUGCUAGCCCAGAAACAAAGGCCACAUUCGAAGCGUAUUUCGAGGCUAGUUUCACGCCUGCAACUGCCAUUCGGCACCACGAGGAGGCACUGGCACUGAAAGACAACAGCCACAUUUUGCUUGCCAACAGCAUGGUGAAUCCAACACAAAGGACUGUUUAUCACUGGCACAAAGAAUGAAAGCUAGCAAAGUAUGGUCUUCUAGCAAAUCCUCUACCGAAACUCCAAGAAAAGUUGGCAGACUAUGCAGCACAAGGAACAUGCAUCUACACAGCUGGCACACCAAACUGCUGGGCGGUGCUUGUGGUUACCCCUAUCAUGCAGCGAGCUCAGUCUCUGGACGCCGCACAGGAGAUAAUUUUUGUGGAUUCAACGUCCUCAUGUGAUGUG
Molecule: long non-coding RNA, 741 nt
Organism: Dermacentor silvarum
Lineage: Eukaryota; Metazoa; Arthropoda; Arachnida; Ixodida; Ixodidae
Exons: 3
Source: RefSeq, a predicted model, not a curated record